ACGGCAGGUCAGUAUGCCCCGAAUCCCCUGGGCGGAACGCGACAUUCAAUGGUAGGGACAGUGGGUUCCGACCCCGAAAGGGGAAGGCAAUCCCUAAACCCUACCUAGGUUGGGAUCGAGGGUUGCAACUCGCCCUCGUGAACGUGGAAUCCCUAGUAACCGCGCGUUACCAUCGCGCGGUGAAUACGUCCCCGCUCCU
RNAcentral lists this ribosomal RNA (199 nucleotides) under uncultured crenarchaeote. RNAcentral's name for it is "partial 16S ribosomal RNA". It matches the Rfam family "Archaeal small subunit ribosomal RNA", at positions 1138 to 1337 of the family's 1478-position model. Lineage: Archaea; Thermoproteati; Thermoproteota. The record is from RNAcentral.